AUGUCUAGGACCACGCACAUAAAAUAUCAACAGACAACUUGGUUUCUCCACAGCCACACAAACCCCAAACCUACCCCACUUUAUAGCUGUUUUUCACACGUAAAUUCAAAUCCCUAUCUUCAUUUUCCUUUUCCACGGUCCAAAACACAUUCAUCUAGCUACCACACUGUCACAUCAUUCACCUCUUCACCCACCCAUCAACGUUUUUCCCAUUUUUUGGCUUUCAAAAAGUUAAUAAUCUUGAAUUAG
Vicia faba (fava bean) is the source of this 249-nucleotide non-coding RNA. The record is from the annotation of a GenBank genome assembly. NCBI's taxonomy places the organism in Eukaryota, Viridiplantae, Streptophyta, Magnoliopsida, Fabales, Fabaceae.